CCCUCAAAUGACGGGAUGAAAAUGGCACUUUACCUCUGUCAUCCUGCUCCCCAAAACCCAAAAUCCAAGUCUCAUCAUGAGAGAAACAUCAGGCAAAUCCCAGUUGAGGAACAUUCUUCGAAACACCUGACCAGUACCCCUCACGAAUGUCAACGAAAACAAGGAAAGUCUGAGUAGCUGUCACAGCCUAGAGGAGCCUAAGGAGUGGAUAAAAUGGAGUCUGAAGGCCGGUGUCUGAAUAGAACCCUGCAUGGGACCUAUGUGACACUCUAGGGACAAAAAAAGCAGGAAUCUUCCAACCCCCAUGCCUAUAAGGAAAACUCUAAACAACUGAACAUAUUUCCAGAUAAAUAACAUUGUAGAAGUGGAGAACGCCUACAUUUCGCUGACUACAGAAGGUUACCUAUGUAAAAAGGACGUAAACCCUAUUUCUAAGCACAUUGUUCUUUCAAGACAUCCUGUUUUACAAAUGCUCUCUAAUCUGCUCCACUUCAUGUAACUCCCUGCAAGUUCAACUAUUGGCUGGAAUAUUAAAACGAAAAAAUUAUAACCAUAAAACUGUCACCAAAAUUCAUCUU
Non-coding RNA from Macaca mulatta (Rhesus monkey), 578 nucleotides. Lineage: Eukaryota; Metazoa; Chordata; Mammalia; Primates; Cercopithecidae. The record is from RefSeq and is a predicted model, not a curated record.